This 301-nucleotide ribosomal RNA is filed under the name uncultured bacterium. Its description in RNAcentral is "partial 16S ribosomal RNA". It matches the Rfam family "Bacterial small subunit ribosomal RNA", at positions 509 to 807 of the family's 1533-position model. The record is from RNAcentral.
CAGCCGCCGCGGGAAUACAGAGGCCUCAAGCGUUGUUCGGAUUCAUUGGGCGUAAAGGGUGCGUAGGUGGCUUGGUAAGUUGAAGGUGAAAUCUCGGGGCUUAACCCCGAAACUGCCUUCAAUACUGCUAGGCUCGAGGACUGUAGAGGAGAAUGGAAUUCACGGUGUAGCAGUGAAAUGCGUAGAUAUCGUGAGGAAGACCAGUGGCGAAGGCGAUUCUCUGGGCAGUUCCUGACACUGAGGCACGAAGGCCAGGGGAGCAAACGGGAUUAGAUACCCCUGUAGUCCCUGUCUCUUAUAC